GACAGAGGGUGCAAACGUUGUUCGGAAUUACUGGGCGUAAAGCGUGUGUAGGCGGUUUGCUAAGUCGGAUGUGAAAGCCCCGGGCUCAACCCGGGAAGUGCACUCGAAACUGGCAGGCUAGAGUAUCGGAGAGGUUGGUGGAAUUCUCGGUGUAGAGGUGAAAUUCGUAGAUAUCGAGAGGAACACCGGUGGCGAAGGCGGCCAACCGGACGAAUACUGACGCUGAGACACGAAAGCGUGGGGAGCAAACAGG
This 253-nucleotide ribosomal RNA is filed under the name uncultured bacterium. RNAcentral describes it as "partial 16S ribosomal RNA". It matches the Rfam family "Bacterial small subunit ribosomal RNA", at positions 524 to 776 of the family's 1533-position model. The record is from RNAcentral.